This 240-nucleotide unclassified non-coding RNA is filed under the name soil metagenome. RNAcentral's name for it is "partial contains 5.8S ribosomal RNA, internal transcribed spacer 2, and large subunit ribosomal RNA". The record is from RNAcentral.
AACAAGGCGUACCUGCGGACCUGCGGAAGGAUCAUUAACACUUAUCCAUUACCAACCACGCGAACUUUGAUGUACUCGGCGACUUGGGUAACAGCAAGUCUCUGGGCUAGCAAUAGCCCUUAGAUUUGUCCAAGGCGUCUUUUUAUCAAAAACCACUUUUAUUGUUAGUCUGACUGUUUGGCGGACCUUAACCGGCCGCAUCAUCAAUUAAAACAACUUUCAACAACGGAUCUCAGAUCG